GAGCCUGGGACAGGAAACCGGCUCCCUUGAAUAGACAAGCAGACCACUCUACACAGCCAAGAGCAGCCACUCAGAAGGGUGUUCUGGGAAGACGAGGUCUACAUGGGUUGGGAAAUAACAAGGUCCCCAGGAAGAUUCCGGCCCAAAGUGGUUUAUCCAGAUCGGUAUGAACACGCAGUGGUGCACUGGCCACAGCGCAGAGCCUCGACAGAGAGACCAACAAGCAUGUAGUGGGUCAAAGGUGGUGAAACAUUUCUUCAGACGAAGAUCUAUCAUUGUCCUUCCAGUCCACAGUUCAACGGCACUAAAAGGCCACAGGACUGGUAGACAAGUCAAGCGGGAGCAAAGCAAGACAGAAGCAGUUAUCAACAGAACGGGAAGGCCGAGGAGAUGCUCAAUCCAUUGACAACAAGAAAACUCAAGACUUAUAAGGAACAGUGUUGGAAAGGUGACUCAGCUCAUCAGUCCCCACAUAGCAGCUCCUAACUGUCCAUGGCUGCAGUCCUGGGGCAUCUGACACCCUCUUUCUGGCUUCACAGGCACCAGCACACAAGAGGUAUACAGACAGACAGACAAGACACACAUACAUACAAAAUAAUAAAAACAUAAAUCAAUACAUCCCAAAAAGAAA
RNAcentral lists this long non-coding RNA (631 nucleotides) under Rattus norvegicus (Norway rat). RNAcentral's name for it is "long non-coding RNA NONRATT014088". Lineage: Eukaryota; Metazoa; Chordata; Mammalia; Rodentia; Muridae. The record is from RNAcentral.